AUGUCCCGCCCCCGCCUCCGCCACUGCUCCUGCUUCACCACGCCCAUGUCCCGCAUCCGCUUCCGCCGCCGCCUCUCCUCUUCCACCUCACGACCCACACCCUCCUGGUCUCCCCGCGCCGCCUUUGCGGCGGCCACGGAGCGCGUCCGCGACGGAACGCUCAGCCCGCAAGACGCACACCACCUGUUCGACGAAUUGUUUCAGCAGGCCACCCCGGUCCCCGACCGCCCCCUCAACGGAUUCCUUGCCGCCCUCACCCGUGCCACGCCCUCCGAGGCCUGCAGAGACGGCCCUGCUCUCGCCCUCUCCCUCUUCAACCGUGUCUACCGAGAAGAAGCCGGCAUGCGGGUGGCGCCGCCGACCAUCUUCACCUACGGCGUCCUCAUGAACUGCUGCUGCCGCAUGCGUCGUCCGGAACUUGGGCUCGCCUUCUUCGGCCGCCUCCUAAGGACGGGCCUGAAGGAAGACAAGAUCGUCGCCAACACUGUCCUCAAGUGCCUGUGCUGCGCUAAACGGGCAGACGACGCUGUGAAAGUGCUGCUUCAUACGAUGACCGAGCUGGGGUGUGUGCCUGAUGCCUUCUCAUACGCCAUUGUCCUGAAGAGCUUAUGUGAUGAUAACAGGAGCCAGCAGGCGCUCUACCUGCUCCGGAUGAUGGCGAAAGAAGAAGGUGUGUGCUCCCCUGACGUGGUCACAUAUAACACCGUCAUUCAUGGCUUCUUUAAGGAAGGAAAAAUAGGCAAGGCCUGCAAUCUAUUCCAUGAAAUGACGAAGCAAGGGUUUGUGCCUAAUGUGGUGACAUAUAACUCGGUUAUCAAUGCAUUGUGCAAGGCCCGAGCAAUGGACAAUGCAGAGUUGUUCCUUCGGCAGAUGGUUGAUAACGGCGUUCAACCGAAUAAAGUGACAUAUACUAGCAUGAUCCAUGGAUAUUCCACUUUGGGCCAGUGGAAAGAGGCGACUAAACUGUUCAGAGAAAUGACAAGCAGUGGUCUUAUACCAGAUAUUGUCACUUGGAACUCGUUCAUUGACUCCCUUUGCAAGCAUGGAAGGAGCAAAGAAGCUGCAGAAAUUUUUCAUUCCAUGUCUGCAAAGGGCCACAAGCCUGAUAUCAUCUCCUACACCACUCUUCUUCAUGGGUAUGCCAAUGAAGGAAGCUUUCCUGAUAUGAUGAGUCUCUUUAAGUCAAUGGAAGGCGACGGUACUGUAGCCAACUGCCAAUUUUUCAACAUAUUAAUUGAUGCAUAUGCUAAACGAGGAAUGAUGGACGAAGCUAUGCUCAUAUUUACUGAAAUGCCAGGACAAGGAGUCAAUCCAAAUGUAGUCACCUAUUCAACUGUGAUAGCUUCACUUUGCAGAAUGGGUAGGCUGGCUGAUGCAAUGAAUAAGUUCAGUGAGAUGAUUGGUACGGGAGUACAACCGAACACAGUUGUUUAUCACUCCCUAGUUCAGGGCUUAUGUACACAUGGUGAUUUGGUGAAAGCGAAGGAGUUGAUUUCUGAAAUGAUGAAUAAAGGUAUUCCUCGUCCAAACAUUGCAUUCUUCAGUUCAAUAGUACACAGUCUAUGCAAAGAAGGAAGGGUUAUGGAUGCACACCAUAUCUUUGACUUGGUUAAAGACAUAGGGGAGAGAUCUGACAUCAUUAUGUUUAAUACGCUGAUUGAUGGAUAUUGCCUAGUCGGUGAGAUGGGCAAAGCAGUCAGUGUACUAGAUGUCAUGAUAUCAGCCGGCAUUGAGCCUGAUAUCUUUACAUAUAAUACACUUGUCAAUGGUUAUUUUAAGAGUGGAAGGAUCGAUGAUGGGUUGAAUCUGUUCAGAGAAAUGUCACAUAAGAAAAUUAAACCUACAACUGUUACAUAUAACAUCAUACUGGAUGGAUUAUUUCGUGCUGGGAGAACCGUUGCUGCCAAGAAAAUGCUCCAUGAGUUGAUCGGAUGUGGAACAACAGUGAGCUUGUCCACAUACAACAUAAUUCUUAAAGGACUUUGUAGAAAUAAUUGCACCGACGAAGCAAUCGUCAUGUUCCAGAAAUUACACACAAUUAAUGUAAAGUUCAAUAUCACAACACUCAAUACCAUGAUUAAUUCAAUGUACACUGUUCAGAGAAGAGAAGAAGCUAAAGAUUUGUUUGCUGCAAUAUCAGACAGCGGGUUGGUGCCCAAUGCCUCUACAUACGGCAUAAUGAUACGAAAUCUUCUAAAAGAAGGAUCAGUGGAAGAAGCUGACAGUAUGUUCUUAUCAAUGGAGAGGAGUGGUUGUGCUCCUUGCUCUCGUCUUUUAAAUGAUACUAUUAGAACGUUAUUGGAGAAGGGGGAGAUAGUCAAGGCCGGAAAUUAUAUGUCUAAAGUUGAUGGCAAGAGCAUCUCACUUGAAGCUUCAACUUGUUCAUUGUUGUUGUCUCUGUUUUCUGGGAAAGGUAAAUAUCGUGAACAAAUACAAUUGCUCCCUGUAAAAUACCAAUUCUUCGGUGGAGUUAGUUGA
RNAcentral lists this ribosomal RNA (2478 nucleotides) under Triticum aestivum (bread wheat). Its description in RNAcentral is "partial small subunit ribosomal RNA". Lineage: Eukaryota; Viridiplantae; Streptophyta; Magnoliopsida; Poales; Poaceae. The record is from RNAcentral.